Molecule: long non-coding RNA, 450 nt
Organism: Armigeres subalbatus
Lineage: Eukaryota; Metazoa; Arthropoda; Insecta; Diptera; Culicidae
Exons: 3
Source: RefSeq, a predicted model, not a curated record
GAAAUAUAUAAAAUCGUGUUUAGAUUAGAUUUAAUACUUUUUUGAUAUUUAUCUAAUUUAAACUAUCAAUAGAUUAAAAUUUAUGCUAUCUAAGAAUAAAAGAUAAUCUUUUAAUGAUUUGUGUAUUGAAAAUAUUUCGGUGCAUUCUUGUGAUUUGAAAACAAUCAUUUUGUGUUAACGUCAGUUGUGAACAUGUAACCGCCGGAUAAUUGUAUCGCAAAAAGUGUGUCACAUAUUGUAUUUUUAUGGAACAAUCUCAUGAAUCGAACGUCCUCAAGAAUCGGAAAAGACGACAGAAUUACUGAUCUGACGAAAUGUGCUCAGGAAGGAGUGGACUUGGAUACGGUGGAAGGAUUUUUGAGAGGCGAUUACUGAUAGCCUUAGAAAAACUUGUGGCGAUACCAGCUUGACUCACAAUGAUCCGGUGGCAGAUAAUUUACCCCUGCAGAA